ACCGACUUAGCUCAGCAGGUAGAGCAACUGACUUGUAAUCAGUAGGUCACCAGUUCGAUUCCCGGUAGUCGC
This 72-nucleotide transfer RNA is filed under the name Citrobacter braakii. RNAcentral's name for it is "tRNA-Thr". It matches the Rfam family "tRNA". From Rfam's summary of the family: Transfer RNA (tRNA) molecules are approximately 80 nucleotides in length. Their secondary structure includes four short double-helical elements and three loops (D, anti-codon, and T loops). The record is from RNAcentral. Lineage: Bacteria; Pseudomonadati; Pseudomonadota; Gammaproteobacteria; Enterobacterales; Enterobacteriaceae.